CCUACGGGAGGCAGCAGUGGGGAAUAUUGCACAAUGGGCGCAAGCCUGAUGCAGCAACGCCGCGUGAGGGACGACGGCCUUCGGGUUGUAAACCUCUUUUAGUAGGGAAGAAGCGAGGUGUUUAUUCACUUCAUGACGGUACCUGCAGAAAAAGCACCGGCUAACUACGUGCCAGCAGCCGCGGUAAUACGUAGGGUGCAAGCGUUAUCCGGAAUUAUUGGGCGUAAAGAGCUCGUAGGCGGUUUGUCGCGUCUGCUGUGAAACUGGGGCUNAACCCCAGCCUGCAGUGGUACGGGCAGACUAGAGUGCGGUAGGGGAGAUUGGAAUUCCUGGUGUAGCGGUGGAAUGCGCAGAUAUCAGGAGGAACACCAAUGGCGAAGGCAGAUCUCUGGGCCGUAAACUGACGCUGAGGAGCGAAAGCAUGGGGAGCGAACAGGAUUAGAUACCCUGGUAGUCCAUGCCGUAAACGUUGGGAACUAGAUGUAGGGUCCCUAUCUACGACGUACUGUGUCGCG
This 515-nucleotide ribosomal RNA is filed under the name uncultured bacterium. RNAcentral's name for it is "bacterial SSU rRNA". It matches the Rfam family "Bacterial small subunit ribosomal RNA", at positions 338 to 850 of the family's 1533-position model. The record is from RNAcentral.